This 486-nucleotide ribosomal RNA is filed under the name uncultured bacterium. RNAcentral describes it as "partial 16S ribosomal RNA". It matches the Rfam family "Bacterial small subunit ribosomal RNA", at positions 30 to 507 of the family's 1533-position model. The record is from RNAcentral.
AUUGAACGCUGGCGGCAUGCCUUACACAUGCAAGUCGAACGGCAGCACGGGUGCUUGCACCUGGUGGCGAGUGGCGAACGGGUGAGUAAUACAUCGGAACAUGUCCUGUAGUGGGGGAUAGCCCGGCGAAAGCCGGAUUAAUACCGCAUACGAUCUACGGAUGAAAGCGGGGGACCUUCGGGCCUCGCGCUAUAGGGUUGGCCGAUGGCUGAUUAGCUAGUUGGUGGGGUAAAGGCCUACCAAGGCGACGAUCAGUAGCUGGUCUGAGAGGACGACCAGCCACACUGGAACUGAGACACGGCCCAGACUCCUACGGGAGGCAGCAGUGGGGAAUUUUGGACAAUGGGCGAAAGCCUGCUCCAGCAAUGCCGCGUGUGUGAAGAAGGCCUUCGGGUUGUAAAGCACUUUUGUCCGGAAAGAAAUCCUUGGCCCUAAUACGGUCGGGGGAUGACGGUACCGGAAGAAUAAGCACCGGCUAACUACGUG